This 255-nucleotide ribosomal RNA is filed under the name uncultured bacterium. Its description in RNAcentral is "partial 16S ribosomal RNA". It matches the Rfam family "Bacterial small subunit ribosomal RNA", at positions 524 to 776 of the family's 1533-position model. The record is from RNAcentral.
UACGUAGGGUGCAAGCGUUGUCCGGAAUUAUUGGGCGUAAAGAGCUCGUAGGCGGUCUGUCGCGUCUGCUGUGAAAACUCAGGGCUUAACCCUGAGCUUGCAGUGGGUACGGGCAGACUAGAGUGCGGUAGGGGAGACUGGAAUUCCUGGUGUAGCGGUGAAAUGCGCAGAUAUCAGGAGGAACACCGGUGGCGAAGGCGGGUCUCUGGGCCGAUACUGACGCUGGAGACGGCGAAAGCGUGGGGAGCAAACAGG